GCGCCCGUAGCUCAGUUGGAUAGAGCGUCGGUCUACGAAACCGAAGGCCACAGGUUCGAAUCCUGUCGGGCGCA
This 74-nucleotide transfer RNA is filed under the name Thermoleophilia bacterium. Its description in RNAcentral is "tRNA-Arg". It matches the Rfam family "tRNA". Rfam says of the family: Transfer RNA (tRNA) molecules are approximately 80 nucleotides in length. Their secondary structure includes four short double-helical elements and three loops (D, anti-codon, and T loops). Further hydrogen bonds mediate the characteristic L-shaped molecular structure. tRNAs have two regions of fundamental functional importance: the anti-codon, which is responsible for specific mRNA codon recognition, and the 3' end, to which the tRNAs corresponding amino acid is attached (by aminoacyl-tRNA synthetases). tRNAs cope with the degeneracy of the genetic code in two manners: having more than one tRNA (with a specific anti-codon) for a particular amino acid; and 'wobble' base-pairing, i.e. permitting non-standard base-pairing at the 3rd anti-codon position. Lineage: Bacteria; Bacillati; Actinomycetota; Thermoleophilia. The record is from RNAcentral.